CCUACGGGUGGCAGCAGUGAGGAAUAUUGGUCAAUGGACGCAAGUCUGAACCAGCCAUGCCGCGUGCAGGAUGACGGCUCUAUGAGUUGUAAACUGCUUUUGUACGAGGGUAAACCCCGAUACGCGUAUCUGUUUGAAAGUAUCGUACGAAUAAGGAUCGGCUAACUCCGUGCCAGCAGCCGCGGUAAUACGGAGGAUCCAAGCGUUAUCCGGAUUUAUUGGGUUUAAAGGGUGCGUAGGCGGUGUGAUAAGUUAGAGGUGAAAUCCCGAGGCUCAACCUCGGAAUUGCCUCUGAUACUGUUGGACUAGAGAGUAGUUGCGGUAGGCGGAAUGUAUGGUGUAGCGGUGAAAUGCUUAGAGAUCAUACAGAACACCGAUUGCGAAGGCAGCUUACCAAGCUACAUCUGACGUUGAGGCACGAAAGCGUGGGGAGCAAACAGGAUUAGAUACCCUAGUAGUC
Molecule: ribosomal RNA, 460 nt
Filed under: uncultured bacterium
Lineage: Bacteria
Description: partial 16S ribosomal RNA
Rfam family: Bacterial small subunit ribosomal RNA
Source: RNAcentral